RNAcentral lists this ribosomal RNA (119 nucleotides) under Pteropus alecto (black flying fox). Lineage: Eukaryota; Metazoa; Chordata; Mammalia; Chiroptera; Pteropodidae. The record is from RNAcentral.
GUCUACAGCCAUGCCACCUUGAACAAACUUGAUCCCGUCUGAUCUUGGAAGCUAAGCGGGGUCAGGCCUGGUAAGUAUUUGGAUGGGAGACCACAUAGGAAGACCAGAUGCUGUAGGUG